This 48-nucleotide ribosomal RNA is filed under the name Macrolobium angustifolium. RNAcentral's name for it is "partial 18S ribosomal RNA". The stretch from base 1 to 43 matches the Rfam family "Eukaryotic small subunit ribosomal RNA", at positions 1789 to 1831 of the family's 1831-position model. The record is from RNAcentral. Lineage: Eukaryota; Viridiplantae; Streptophyta; Magnoliopsida; Fabales; Fabaceae. RNAcentral also lists the same sequence under 1 other name.
UCGUAACAAGGUUUCCGUAGGUGAACCUGCGGAAGGAUCAUUGUCGAU